AACGCUGGCGGCGUGCCUAACACAUGCAAGUCGAGCGAUGAAGCUUCUUCGGGAAGUGGAUUAGCGGCGGACGGGUGAGUAACACGUGGGCAACCUGCCUCAUAGUGGGGAAUAGCCUCUCGAAAGGGAGAUUAAUACCGCAUAAGAUUGUAGUUCCGCAUGGAAUAGCAAUUAAAGGAUUUAUUCGCUAUGAGAUGGGCCCGCGGCGCAUUAGCUAGUUGGUGAGGUAACGGCUCACCAAGGCGACGAUGCGUAGCCGACCUGAGAGGGUGAUCGGCCACAUUGGGACUGAGACACGGCCCAGACUCCUACGGGAGGCAGCAGUGGGGAAUAUUGCACAAUGGGGGAAACCCUGAUGCAGCAACGCCGCGUGAGUGAUGACGGCCUUCGGGUUGUAAAGCUCUGUCUUUAGGGACGAUAAUGACGGUACCUGAGGAGGAAGCCACGGCUAACUACGUG
Molecule: ribosomal RNA, 459 nt
Filed under: uncultured bacterium
Lineage: Bacteria
Description: bacterial SSU rRNA
Rfam family: Bacterial small subunit ribosomal RNA
Source: RNAcentral